RNAcentral lists this ribosomal RNA (468 nucleotides) under uncultured bacterium. Its description in RNAcentral is "partial 16S ribosomal RNA". It matches the Rfam family "Bacterial small subunit ribosomal RNA", at positions 28 to 507 of the family's 1533-position model. The record is from RNAcentral.
GACGAACGCUGGCGGCGUGCUUAACACAUGCAAGUCGAACGGAAAGGCCCUGCUUUUGUGGGGUGCUCGAGUGGCGAACGGGUGAGUAACACGUGAGUAACCUGCCCUUGACUUUGGGAUAACUUCAGGAAACUGGGGCUAAUACCGGAUAGGAGCUCCUGCUGCAUGGUGGGGGUGGGAAAGUUUCGGCGGUUGGGGAUGGACUCGCGGCUUAUCAGCUUGUUGGUGGGGUAGUGGCUUACCAAGGCUUUGACGGGUAGCCGGCCUGAGAGGGUGACCGGCGACAUGGGGACUGAGAGACGGACCAGACUGGUACGGGAGGCAGCAGUGGGGAAUAUUGCACAGUGGGCGGGAGUCUGAUGCGGCGACGCCGCGUGCGGGAUGACGGCCUUCGGGUUGUAAACCGCUUUCGCCUGUGACGAAGCGUGAGUGACGGUAAUGGGUAAAGAAGCACCGGCUAACUACGUG